Non-coding RNA from Glycine soja, 102 nucleotides. NCBI's taxonomy places the organism in Eukaryota, Viridiplantae, Streptophyta, Magnoliopsida, Fabales, Fabaceae. The record is from Rfam.
GUUUUCCCUAGAGUUUCCCUGAACACUUCAUUAAAGGGCUUUAUUGAAAUAUAAUCCAAAGUUAGUCUAUACUGAAGUGUUUGGGGGAACUCCUGGUGAUAC